AGUUGAACGCUUGAUUUUCACCGAAGCUUGCUUCACCGAAAAUCAAGAGUAGCGAACGGGUGAGUAACGCGUGGGUAACCUACCUAUCAGCGGGGGAUAACUAUUGGAAACGAUAGCUAAUACCGCAUAACAAUGUUGGAUGCAUAUUCGACAUUUGAAAGUACCAACUGGUACACUGAGAGAUGGACCCGCGUUGUAUUAGCUAGUUGGUAGUGUAAUGGACUACCAAGGCGAUGAUACAUAGCCGACCUGAGAGGGUGAUCGGCCACAUUGGGACUGAGACACGGCCCAAACUCCUACGGGAGGCAGCAGUAGGGAAUCUUCGGCAAUGGACGAAAGUCUGACCGAGCAACGCCGCGUGAGUGAAGAAGGUUUUCGGAUCGUAAAACUCUGUUGUUAGAGAAGAACGUUGCAUAGAGUGGAAAAUUAUGCAAGUGACGGUAUCUAACCAGAAAGGGACGGCUAACUACGUGCCAGCAGCCGCGGUAAU
RNAcentral lists this ribosomal RNA (490 nucleotides) under uncultured bacterium. RNAcentral describes it as "bacterial SSU rRNA". It matches the Rfam family "Bacterial small subunit ribosomal RNA", at positions 60 to 524 of the family's 1533-position model. The record is from RNAcentral.